AAGAGUUAGGGUCCUCGGCGGGGCGCCCUGUUAAGGCCGUCUGUUCCGCGAGGCAACGUUUAGUAUGUUCACAGGUUGUGAGUUGUAUAACUCCGGUAAUGCUCUCUCGUUUGGGGGGCCAGCGGAGGGAUCAUUAC
This 137-nucleotide ribosomal RNA is filed under the name Fusarium sp. KC-2010ba. RNAcentral's name for it is "partial 18S ribosomal RNA". Lineage: Eukaryota; Fungi; Ascomycota; Sordariomycetes; Hypocreales; Nectriaceae. The record is from RNAcentral.